CAAGGGCACUGUCCCAUCAGCCUUAAAGAACCACUGAGUCGCAAUCCCACACAACAUGGAGUGGGUGUGGAGCUUCCUUUUCCUGCUCAUAGCUAUGCCAGGUGCCCAUACCCAGGUCAAGCUGGAACAGUCUGGGGCUGAGCUGAAACAGCCUGGACAGUCAGUGAAGAUCUCCUGCAAGGCCUCAGGGUACACAUUUACCGAAUAUGCAAUGAACUGGGUGAAGCAGCCAGCAGGAAAGGUUCUGCAGGAUAUGGGCUGGAUCAACACCGACACUGGAAACCCAACUUAUGCAGAGGACUUUAAAGGACGUUUUGUCUUCUCCAUGGAUGCCUCCAUCAGCACUGCCUACCUGCAGAUCAACAGCCUGAAGGCAGAGGACAUGGCUGUGUAUUACUGUGCGAGACACAGUGUGAAAACCACAUCCCGAGGCUGUCAGAAACCCUAG
Nannospalax galili (Upper Galilee mountains blind mole rat) is the source of this 448-nucleotide non-coding RNA. The record is from the annotation of a RefSeq genome assembly. NCBI's taxonomy places the organism in Eukaryota, Metazoa, Chordata, Mammalia, Rodentia, Spalacidae.